Molecule: ribosomal RNA, 447 nt
Filed under: uncultured bacterium
Lineage: Bacteria
Description: bacterial SSU rRNA
Rfam family: Bacterial small subunit ribosomal RNA
Source: RNAcentral
GCCAGACUCCUACGGGAGGCAGCAGUCGGGAAUAUUGCGCAAUGGAGGAAACUCUGACGCAGUGACGCCGCGUGCAGGAAGAAGGUUUUCGGAUUGUAAACUGCUUUAGACAGGGAAGAUAAUGACAGUACCUGUAGAAUAAGCUCCGGCUAACUACGUGCCAGCAGCCGCGGUAAUACGUAGGGAGCAAGCGUUAUCCGGAUUUAUUGGGUGUAAAGGGUGCGUAGACGGGAAUGCAAGUUAGUUGUGAAAUCCCUCGGCUUAACUGAGGAACUGCAACUAAAACUACAUUUCUUGAGUGCUGGAGAGGAAAGUGGAAUUCCUAGUGUAGCGGUGAAAUGCGUAGAUAUUAGGAGGAACACCAGUGGCGAAGGCGACUUUCUGGACAGUAACUGACGUUGAGGCACGAAAGUGUGGGGAGCAAACAGGAUUAGAUACCCUGGUAAC